Molecule: small RNA, 28 nt
Filed under: Bombyx mori (domestic silkworm)
Lineage: Eukaryota; Metazoa; Arthropoda; Insecta; Lepidoptera; Bombycidae
Description: ovarian small RNA-2696
Source: RNAcentral
GAGAUCAGCCUUCCAAGACACUUACAAU